Molecule: long non-coding RNA, 1455 nt
Filed under: Sinocyclocheilus anshuiensis
Lineage: Eukaryota; Metazoa; Chordata; Actinopteri; Cypriniformes; Cyprinidae
Description: lncRNA (ENSSANG00000032960.1)
Source: RNAcentral
GCCCUUCUCUCCUGGGCAGCCCGGAUGGAUCUGCAGCCAGAAUGAGGAGCUAGAACCCGUUGAAGAGAUCCAGCAGGACCAAAGCCAGAGGAUCGGUGAACAACACCCGUUCAUAAAACCGGAAAAGCCCGAAUACUCUGUCGAUGUUUACAGGCAAUCCGUAGCUUUGCCAUCAAAAGCCACCUAUGACGAGGGCUCACACAUGUGCGCUGAUCACACCAACACAAAUCCUAUUGAGGAUGAAAUGACAAACUGUCAUUUCUCAUCUAAAAUCAAAGUUGAAUUCAUGAACUCCAGCUUGUGUUCAGGCGAUGCAGUGGGAAGCACUGAAGAUGCAUAUCAGAGCUGGUCGCCACACAGCCCAGAUUUGCCUUUAGGGACAUCGGAUAUCUACAGAGCACAGCACCCAAACCAGCCAACAUACGCUGACAGCGAAGCUCCUGCCACAGUAUCUCAGCAUAACAGCUCAUCUCAUGAUGCCAAUCACGUUUCAUAUCACAACAUAUUAUGUACAAACAGGGCUUACUGUAGCAGUAAAUGCUGUGAAAUGCAAAAGAGGACAAUAGCAAAAUCAAGCCCUGUGUGGAAGUAUUUCUCUCUAAAAGAGGGAGACUGUAGCAAAGCAGUGUGCCUUAUGUGUAGGGCCGUCAUAUCUCGUGGUCGCAAAGAAUACACAACGUCGGCUCUUCUAAAGCACCUUCGGAUGAAACAUGGAAAUGCGCUAAUCUUUGGCAGUGCUAAGAAGAGACGAAUGAAAGAGAUUACGAGAAAGACUGUGUGAAAACCACUAAACCACUUUCGGUCAGUGUGGACACUGGCUUUUGUGCAUCAUGGCCAACCUUUGAGUGUUUUCAAACGAAUUGAAAAAUCUACAUCAUACAGAGUGGGUUGAGAUAGGGCAGUCAGAAAUUUAUGCACACAAUAAUCAUCCAAGCUUUUUGAUUAUGGUUACAGACGAAUGGGGGGAAGUUGUGGCCUAAUGGUUAGAGAGUCGGACUCGUAACCCAAAGGUUGUAGGUUCGCGUCUCGUACCGGCAGGGAUUGUCGGUGGGGGGAGGGAAUGUACAGCGCUCUCUCCCACCUUCAAUACCACGACUGAGGUGCCCUUGAGCAAGUGUUCACUGCUGUGUGUGUGCACUUUGGAUGGGAUAAAUGCAGAGCACUAAUUCCGAAAUGGGUCACCAUACUUGGCCACAUGUCACUUUUAUAGAAUCGUACUGUUUGGAAAAAACGUCACAAUCUUUAGCUUGUAAGUAACUUCAUCAUCGUAUUGUCUAAAAAAAUAACAGGAUGUACAUACUAGCUAGGGCAUGAAUAAUAUCAAAGAAAACUGUAAUACAAAAGAGAUUUAAUCAUUUUACAGACAUUUACAGAAUAUUUUACCACCCCUGAAAUGUAAAAUGUUUUGAACUUGAUUUGUCUUUUAUACUCAUUUUUGCAAUAAAUGAAUCCUGG